RNAcentral lists this ribosomal RNA (502 nucleotides) under uncultured bacterium. RNAcentral's name for it is "partial 16S ribosomal RNA". The record is from RNAcentral.
GGAGUUAGCCGGUGCUUCUUCUGUGAGUGAUGUCCUUCCUGCCGGCUAUUAACCCGCAGGCCUUCUUCCUCACUGAAAGUGCUUUACAACCCGAAGGCCUUCUUCACACACGCGGCAUGGCUGGAUCAGGGUUGCCCCCAUUGUCCAAUAUUCCCCACUGCUGCCUCCCGUAGGAGUCUGGGCCGUGUCUCAGUCCCAGUGUGGCUGAUCAUCCUCUCAGACCAGCUACGGAUCGUCGCCUUGGUGAGCCGUUACCUCACCAACCAGCUAAUCCGACAUAGGCUCAUCCGAUAGCGCGAGGCCCGAAGGUCCCCCGCUUUCCCCCGUAGGGCGUAUGCGGUAUUAGCCUGGGUUUCCCCAGGUUAUCCCCCACUACCGGGCAGAUUCCCUAUGCAUUACUCACCCGUCCGCCGCUCGCCACCAGGGAGCAAGCUCCCCGUGCUGCCGCUCGACUUGCAUGUGUAGCUGCCGCCAGCGUCAUCUGAGCGAGAUACAACUCUGA